ACUACGGGUGGCAGCAGUAGGGAAUCUUCCACAAUGGGCGCAAGCCUGAUGGAGCAACACCGCGUGAGUGAAGAAGGGUUUCGGCUCGUAAAGCUCUGUUGUUGGAGAAGAACGUGCGUGAGAGUAACUGUUCACGCAGUGACGGUUUCCAACCAGAAAGUCACGGCUAACUACGUGCCAGCAGCCGCGGUAAUACGUGGGUGGCAAGCGUUAUCCGGAUUUAUUUGGCGUAAAGCGAGCGCAGGCGGUUGCUUAGGUCUGAUGUGAACGCCUGCGGCUUAACCGAAGAAGUGCAUCGGAAACCGGGCGAGUGGGGUACAGAUGAGGACGGGGGAACUCCAUGGGCAGCGGUGGAGUGCGUAACUAUAUGUGAGA
RNAcentral lists this ribosomal RNA (375 nucleotides) under uncultured bacterium. RNAcentral describes it as "partial 16S ribosomal RNA". It matches the Rfam family "Bacterial small subunit ribosomal RNA", at positions 338 to 705 of the family's 1533-position model. The record is from RNAcentral.